Molecule: long non-coding RNA, 377 nt
Organism: Gasterosteus aculeatus aculeatus (three-spined stickleback)
Lineage: Eukaryota; Metazoa; Chordata; Actinopteri; Perciformes; Gasterosteidae
Source: Ensembl
AGCACUUCCGGUUAGCGAGUUAGCGUCUUUUACGGUCUUUGGUUAGCGUGCAGAAAAAGUAAACUAUGGAUGGUGUUACACGCCGACACGGCUCCGGGACAUAUUGUGCUGUUCACGGUUGCAACAACUCGUGCCGAUUGCUGAAUGUUUGGUCGGAAGGAGAAUGUUUCGACCAUCAACCAUCUACAAGAUUGUCAAAUUGAUACAGCCAAGCGGUGUGAUGGCAUCUGCAUCUGGGACAAGACCGCGCGGCUGUGACGGGGAGGGGGCAUCCAUGUGCUGUCAAGGUCCAGGUGGUUUGGGUUGCUGUCUUCUGUGCUGUGACGUUUGGGGCACCCUGGGUUUGGAACCCUCACGUGAGUGAGUGAGUGAGUGAG